RNAcentral lists this ribosomal RNA (275 nucleotides) under uncultured bacterium. RNAcentral describes it as "partial 16S ribosomal RNA". It matches the Rfam family "Bacterial small subunit ribosomal RNA", at positions 338 to 605 of the family's 1533-position model. The record is from RNAcentral.
CCUACGGGGGGCAGCAGUGGGGAAUAUUGGACAAUGGGCGCAAGCCUGAUCCAGCCAUGCCGCGUGUGUGAAGAAGGUCCUCGGAUUGUAAAGCACUUUAAGUUGGGAGGAAGUUCAGUAAGUUAAUACCUUGUUGAAUUGACGUUACCGACAGAAUAAGCACCGGCUAACUCUGUGCCAGCAGCCGCGGUAAUACAGAGGGUGCAAGCGUUAAUCGGAAUUACUGGGCGUAAAGCGCGCGUAGGUGGUUUUGUAAGUUGGAGGUGAAAUCCCCG